ACUCCUUUCAGUUUUUAACUCUGUCUUUGUCCCGGUGUUUGGUGAUUUCCUGGCUCGCUUGGCAUAACAUUUUUGGAAGCAGCAGUGAGAUCACCAUCACUUGGUGACUUCUGUCCAGAGGACAGUCCCUGUCUCAGGCUGCUGCAGCCCAAGGUAGGCCUAGGGAAGCCACCCUGACCAUUUGAUCAGGGCCCUGGGAGCUCGGGCCCUGAGUGGAGGAUUCGGGUCAUUCCAGCCAUCCUGAAGGGAGUUUAUCUGGAAAGCCUCUGGAGGUCAGCCUACCUGGGAUGACUGCCAGCAGCUGCUCCACACCCUCUUCACUAUGGAAGAGCAGGACCAGAUUUUCCAAGAGGCUGUUAAGGUGGCCCUGGGACCAAACCCAGACCUCAGUCCUGGCACUCUGGCUUAUCUGCAGCAAGCAGAGGCUGAGGUGCUGACCCACCGACUGGACUGGGACCCCAACACUGAUGCAGACUUAAAGCUAUAAAGCUACUCAAGAUGACAAUGACUAGUGCCUAUCCAGGACCUUUAGAUAGAUGAGCCUCUAUAGAAUAACUCUCACUGCUGAUCACAACUAUGACCCUCUUCAGCUGGAAGUAGCAGAACAGUCCUCACCCUUUGCCCCUCACAGCAGUUAAAAGGAAAUAUUCUUCAGAGGAGGGAAUAUUCCAGAUAGGUAAGUUAAUUGGAUAUCUUCUAGAC
This is a non-coding RNA of Heterocephalus glaber (naked mole-rat), 702 nucleotides long. NCBI's taxonomy places the organism in Eukaryota, Metazoa, Chordata, Mammalia, Rodentia, Bathyergidae. The record is from RefSeq and is a predicted model, not a curated record.